RNAcentral lists this ribosomal RNA (558 nucleotides) under uncultured bacterium. RNAcentral describes it as "bacterial SSU rRNA". It matches the Rfam family "Bacterial small subunit ribosomal RNA", at positions 282 to 852 of the family's 1533-position model. The record is from RNAcentral.
GUUAGCUUCGGCACAGAGAGGAUGAUCAGCCACACUGGGACUGAGACACGGCCCAGACUCCUACGGGAGGCAGCAGCAAGGAAUCUUGGGCAAUGGGCGAAAGCCUGACCCAGCAACGCCGCGUGAGGGAUGAAGGCUUUCGGGUUGUAAACCUCUUUUCACAGGGAAGAAUAAUGACGGUACCUGUGGAAUAAGCUUCGGCUAACUACGUGCCAGCAGCCGCGGUAAUACGUAGGAAGCAAGCGUUAUCCGGAUUUAUUGGGCGUAAAGUGAGCGUAGGUGGUCUUUCAAGUUGGAUGUGAAAUUUCCCGGCUUAACCGGGACGAGUCAUUCAAUACUGUUGGACUAGAGUACAGCAGGAGAAAACGGAAUUCCCGGUGUAGUGGUAAAAUGCGUAGAUAUCGGGAGGAACACCAGAGGCGAAGGCGGUUUUCUAGGUUGUCACUGACACUGAGGCUCGAAAGCGUGGGGAGCGAACAGAAUUAGAUACUCUGGUAGUCCACGCCUUAAACUAUGGACACUAGGUAUAGGGAGUAUCGACCCUCUCUGUGCCGAAGC